Molecule: microRNA precursor, 102 nt
Filed under: Marmota monax (woodchuck)
Lineage: Eukaryota; Metazoa; Chordata; Mammalia; Rodentia; Sciuridae
Source: RNAcentral
AGUGCAAUUGCUAGGUCAUAUGGUAAUUGCAUAUUUACUUUAGUAGAGAAUCCCAAAUUGCUUCCCAUAGUGGCUGUACCAUUUUGCACUCCAAUGAGCAAU